GCCGAGCCUGAUAACGCAAGCUUGUGACCCAGGUGGGGGUAUUUGGGGUUAUAGAAUAUCUGGUCUGGCUUAAGCGGUCGGAUUCAUUGUGACAAAUCACCGGCCUGCCCUUUCCAAGCAAGGAGCGAUCCGUGGGAUUUGAGCGAAAGCUGUGGGUCUCGUGGGAUCCUAGGGAGAAUGGUAAUGCGUGAGGUUGGUUUCACAGAGCAGCGAUAACUAUCCGUUCUUUGCAGUGCUAGGAUAGCAAGCUGGUGCCUCCUGAAUCCAAUAUGUGGUUCCCAGGGUUGACCAUAAUUGAACUAUCAACACCU
Molecule: non-coding RNA, 311 nt
Organism: Gossypium hirsutum (cotton)
Lineage: Eukaryota; Viridiplantae; Streptophyta; Magnoliopsida; Malvales; Malvaceae
Source: Rfam